This 993-nucleotide long non-coding RNA is filed under the name Anser brachyrhynchus (Pink-footed goose). RNAcentral describes it as "lncRNA (ENSABRG00000008580.1)". Lineage: Eukaryota; Metazoa; Chordata; Aves; Anseriformes; Anatidae. The record is from RNAcentral.
GUUUGAUUGUUAAAUAUACAAAUUAUGUGAAGAUAAAAAAAAUCAUUAAAAUGCAAUUAUUUCAGCAAUGUAAGUUUAUGGCUAUAUAAGUACAUUAAAAGACCAACUUUGUAGGUCUUUAUGUGCUUAAUAAAACUGAAUAAUUUGCUAAAAUAAUCUUUGGUGGCAGUAGCAAGUAAAUUUUGUAUUUCCAUUUGACUUGAAGCAUAUUCCAGGUAUAUUAAAAAAAGAUUACUGCAUUUUAAACCAUAUGUCCCCAUAUUGGGUGUGAAGAACAACAGUGCUGGUGCAGGAAAAAAAAAAAAAAGAGAGAAUGAUGUGUGUAUAAUCUCUUCUUCUGCAUCCAGUAUUGCAGGUUGAAACUGUUGCCAGUGGAAAGUUGUUCAGCCAAAGAUGGAGAAGGGCAGGAAAGCCCCGAAGCACACCUUGUCAUCAGGUUGUUUGCAGCACUUCCUGCCUUCGCCCUUCCACAUCGCUGAGACACGUGAGAUGCAAACAGUGAGACAGCUCAGGACGUUUUACCACCGCCUGCAUUACGUUGUGAUGGCAGAUGUUGAACGUGGCCAAAGCUGAUGUUGGGGGCUGCCUGAGAGUGAACGGGGUGAAGGUACCCACAAACACUGGGAUGUUUGUCCCCUUCAGGAGAUGUUCUUUCUUUUCCAUUCCCCAUUCAGCACUCUUUUUCCCCACCCAGCUCAUCUUUGACUUCAUUUUGUUUAUAUAGUAAUGAAGCCAAUAAGGCACAGUGCUGAGAUGAUAUAUCGAAUGUCCCCACCGUUAGGGAUUAGAGGACUUUAUGGUAAAGCAGAUUAUUACUUAAAUAUCAGCAUGUUUGUGGUUGAAUAAUUGCUAUACCUGAAAUCCUUUUCAAUCAGCAGCUUGUGCUGAAAAUGUCAUGCAUCAUAAAGAGAGGUUUUGAACCUGGCUCUUUUGCUGCUGUCCCUGGAGACGGUACAAGGAAUCAAUAAUAAAUUUAAGACCUGGCAGGUUUCA